AUCUAGCUGACGAGUCCAAAAUAGAACGAAACACUUGUCCUAGAU
RNAcentral lists this non-coding RNA (45 nucleotides) under Schistosoma mattheei. Lineage: Eukaryota; Metazoa; Platyhelminthes; Trematoda; Strigeidida; Schistosomatidae. The record is from RNAcentral.